Molecule: unclassified non-coding RNA, 1059 nt
Filed under: Hevea brasiliensis (rubber tree)
Lineage: Eukaryota; Viridiplantae; Streptophyta; Magnoliopsida; Malpighiales; Euphorbiaceae
Source: RNAcentral
GUGGUAAAAUCCUACCUCGUCCUAGUGAUGGAAAGCUCAGGUAUGUUGGAGGUGACACACGCAUUAUACGUAUAACUAGGGACAUCUCAUGGCAGGAGCUUAAGCAGAAAAUUAUAUCGAUAUAUGACCAAGCACAUGUGAUAAAAUAUCAACUUCCUGGAGAGGAUCUUGAUGCCUUGGUUUCUGUUUCAUCUGAUGAGGAUCUGCUGAAUAUGAUGGAGGAAUGGAAUGAAGUUGAAGAUAGGCAAGGCAAGAAUCACAAAAACUUAGAAUGUUUCUGUUCUCCAUGAGUGAUUUGGAGGAUGCUCAGUUUAACUUGGGCAGUUUGGAGGGUGAUUAUGAGAUUCAGUAUGUAGUUGCAGUUAAUGGCAUGGACUUGGGAUCAAGAAAAAACUCAAUUGUACAUGGUUUGGCAGGCUCUUCGGGAAAUAAUUUAAGUGAGCUAGAUGGAUUAAAUAUUGAUGGGGAGAUGAGUAGCGUGGCAGCUGUCUCUGUUGGGGUCAGUACUUCACCUUUGACUAGCACUUUCCAAUCUGCUCAACCAGUUCUUCAGAAUUUCUCCAGUGCACAUGAAACCCAUCUGCAGUGUUAUCAUGGCCAAAUGAUGGACCAUAGAGAAGCUCAGCAAUUCCUGGCACACUAUCCCCAUGAUUCUUCUAAGUACUCCCCUUCUGAAGAAAUUCCCUAUUCAACCUCCCUUCAGGGGCUUAUGAAUCAACAAGGAGGUUUGAAUGGAGGAAACUCAUGUGGCAGCCAUCAUGGGCAGAAUUCACAGACAUUAGUAAAGGAAGUCAAGAGGAAACCUGAUGGUUCAGUUCAGCAUGAGGUUGGCAAUGAAAAAACUCGUCCCCUAGAAAAGGCUGUUCCAGUUAAUAAAAUAUCAGUUGCAGUUGCUGCACAAGAAGAUCUCCAUUCUCUGCCCUCAAAAAAUGAGGGAAAGCGCCAUGAAUCUGAAAAUGUCUCUUCUUCUGUAGAUGCCUUUAAUCAGGUGCAGAUUUCUAAAUUAUGUGAAGAUGAUCAUUGUUCCCCAUCUAGUAGUACAUUUGGUCUGAGUGGUGC